UAAAUCAGUUAUCGUUUAUUUGAUAGUACCUUACUACUUGGAUAACCGUGGUAAUUCUAGAGCUAAUACAUGCUAAAAACCCCGACUUCGGGAGGGGUGUAUUUAUUAGAUAAAAAACCAAUGCCCUUCGGGGCUCUUUGGUGAUUCAUGAUAACUUAACGGAUCGCAUGGCCUUGCGCCGGCGACGGUUCAUUCAAAUUUCUGCCCUAUCAACUUUCGAUGGUAAGGUAUUGGCUUACCAUGGUUUCAACGGGUAACGGGGAAUUAGGGUUCGAUUCCGGAGAGGGAGCCUGAGAAACGGCUACCACAUCCAAGGAAGGCAGCAGGCGCGCAAAUUACCCAAUCCCGACUCGGGGAGGUAGUGACAAUAAAUACUGAUACAGGGCUCUUUUGGGUCUUGUAAUCGGAAUGAGUACAAUUUAAACCCCUUAACGAGGAACAAUUGGAGGGCAAGUCUGGUGCCAGCAGCCGCGGUAAUUCCAGCUCCAAUAGCGUAUAUUAAAGUUGUUGCAGUUAAAAAGCUCGUAGUUGAACCUUGGGCCUGGCUGGCCGGUCCGCCUCACCGCGUGUACUGGUCCGGCCGGGCCUUUCCUUCUGGAGAGCCGCAUGCCCUUCACUGGGUGUGUCGGGGAACCAGGACUUUUACUUUGAAAAAAUUAGAGUGUUCAAAGCAGGCCUUUGCUCGAAUACGUUAGCAUGGAAUAAUAGAAUAGGACGUGCGGUCCUAUUUUGUUGGUUUCUAGGACCGCCGUAAUGAUUAAUAGGGAUAGUCGGGGGCAUCAGUAUUCAAUUGUCAGAGGUGAAAUUCUUGGAUUUAUUGAAGACUAACUACUGCGAAAGCAUUUGCCAAGGAUGUUUUCAUUAAUCAGUGAACGAAAGUUAGGGGAUCGAAGACGAUCAGAUACCGUCGUAGUCUUAACCGUAAACUAUGCCGACUAGGGAUCGGGCGAUGUUUCUAUCUUGACUCGCU
RNAcentral lists this ribosomal RNA (970 nucleotides) under Lophiotrema neohysterioides (nom. illeg.). RNAcentral's name for it is "SSU rRNA". It matches the Rfam family "Eukaryotic small subunit ribosomal RNA", at positions 102 to 1080 of the family's 1831-position model. Lineage: Eukaryota; Fungi; Ascomycota; Dothideomycetes; Pleosporales; Lophiotremataceae. The record is from RNAcentral.